Long non-coding RNA from Pecten maximus, 877 nucleotides. RefSeq lists it as uncharacterized. NCBI's taxonomy places the organism in Eukaryota, Metazoa, Mollusca, Bivalvia, Pectinida, Pectinidae. The record is from RefSeq and is a predicted model, not a curated record. The transcript is spliced from 2 exons.
AGACCAUGUCUGUUUGGGAAAAAUAAGAAAGUAAAAUGCAUGCUAAAUAUAAGUAAUAUUUAUUUGAUGAGUUCAUAUUAAAGCCUAUAUAGCAAACAAUUUAUUUUAAAAUAUAGAAAAUAUUAAUUCAUGGUUCUGCUUGGAGCAUUGUUGAUAUAAAAGGGUCUCUUGUUCUACAGCAUAAUGUAUACUAUGACUCUCAAAUUGAUAGGGGUGUUAAUGUAGAAACCAAAGUUGAUAAGGGCGCUAAUGUGGAAACCAAAGUUGAUAAGGGUGUUAGUGUGGAAACCAAAGUGAUAAGGGUGUUAAUGUGGAAACCAAAGUUGAUAAGGGCGUUAAUGUGGAAACCAAAGUUGAUAAGGGCGUUAAUGUGGAAACCAGAGUUGAUAAGGGUGUUAGUGUGGAAACCAAAGUUGAUAAGGGUGUUAAUGUGGAAACCAAAGUUGAUAAGGGCGUUAAUGUGGAAACCAGAGUUGAUAAGGGUGUUAGUGUGGAAACCAAAGUUGAUAAGGGCGUUAAUGUGGAAACCAAAGUUGAUAAGGGCGUUAAUGUGGAAACCAAAGUUGAUAAGGGUGAAAGUGUGGAAACCAGAGUUGAUAAGGGUGUUAGUGUGGAAACCAAAGUGAUAGGGGUGUUAGUGUGGAAACCUAAGUAAAUAAGGGUUUUAGUGUGGAAACUAAAUUUGAUAUAGAUUUUAAUGUGGAAACCAAAGUUGAUAAGGGUGUAGGUUUUGGGAACCAAAUUGAUACCAUUCUUUCUCUUAUUCAACUUGUCCUUAUGCUUCAAAGAGUAAAGGAGUUAUUUGCAAUAUUUUUUUUUAUUUCUAAAGAUAUUUGACCCCUGUAACCAACUAGAACUUCAAGCAAAAUGCUUUAAC